This 497-nucleotide ribosomal RNA is filed under the name uncultured bacterium. RNAcentral describes it as "partial 16S ribosomal RNA". It matches the Rfam family "Bacterial small subunit ribosomal RNA", at positions 28 to 507 of the family's 1533-position model. The record is from RNAcentral.
GAUGAACGCUGGCGGCGUGCCUAAUACAUGCAAGUCGAGCGAACAGACGAGGAGCUUGCUCCUCUGACGUUAGCGGCGGACGGGUGAGUAACACGUGGAUAACCUACCUAUAAGACUGGGAUAACUUCGGGAAACCGGAGCUAAUACCGGAUAAUAUAUUGAACCGCAUGGUUCAAUAGUGAAAGACGGUUUUGCUGUCACUUAUAGAUGGAUCCGCGCCGCAUUAGCUAGUUGGUAAGGUAACGGCUUACCAAGGCAACGAUGCGUAGCCGACCUGAGAGGGUGAUCGGCCACACUGGAACUGAGACACGGUCCAGACUACUACGGGAGGCAGCAGUAGGGAAUCGGCCGCAAUGGGCGAAAGCCUGACGGAGCAACGCCGCGUGAGUGAUGAAGGUCUUCGGAUCGUAAAACUCUGUUAUGAGGGAAGAACAAAUGUGUAAGUAACUAUGCACGUCUUGACGGUACCUAAUCAGAAAGCCACGGCUAACUACGUG